GCAAGCGCUAGGGGAGGGCCCCGCGGAGUUGCCAUGGUUACAGGCGCCACGCUCUGCGCGGGCCGGCGUGCGCUUCUGGGGCGGGUAGCGGGCUCCGGAAGUGUGCAGCUGCCCGGGACCAUGGCGGUGCUUGCUGCUGGGGAUGGCGGCUUGCUCGGCCGGGCGACUAGUUCUGGCCUGGUCAGUCGGCGGCCGACAUCCUGUCUGGGGCGGCGUCCCACAGACGGUAAACGUACCUUCUGUGUGACUUCAACCCUCCAGAGGGCUUCAACCUCCUUAGGAACGUCUGCAUCCACAUUGCCUUCCUCCUGAAGACCCUGCUGAAGAUGGAGGAGCCGGUACUGGUGCUAUUCCCUUGGGGCCACCUCUACCACUGGCAGAGCCCCGAUCCCUGGUCCGACUCCUUUGACCUCCCAAGUCUCAACAGAAACAUCCCUGACAUUGAGUACGAGCAGUUCGUUGCAGGCCUCUGAAUCCUCAGUCCAGGGAAGCUAAACCAUUCUAGCCUUCAUCGGUUCUGGGAAAGCAAUCUUCAGAGUGGGAAAAGACAUUGAAAAAUAAUAUUCUGUGAGUUGCAUUCUACCCUUGCCCAGAGAUGAGAAACAUCUGAAGGUGGAGGAAAACAGUUGGAGGGUUCACUUGGUGAUAAUAAUCAUAACCAAAGCAACAGCAAACCCUUACAGAACUCUGUCCUGCUGUUCCAGGAACGCUGUGUUCAUGACAACCCAAUGAGUUGGCACCACUAUGCGUUCCACUUUAAAGAUGGCCUUGCCUCCUGCUUCAGAGAGAAUGACAUGUCACUGGAAAGGAACUCGCUCACCUGCAGCAAACCUGCUCACCUCACCUUUUAUCUGUCCCUCUCCCACCUGGACUCUAGCUGUAGUUGUUCUUAAUUCAGUGAGUUUAGUUGACAUAUAUAUACACAGUUAAAAGCAUAGCACACUAUCGGCUACCUUCUAGGGGUUACUUUUUCAAUUUAACAUGGAGUGUGUGAUUCAUCCACUUCAUUGCAUGUACCUGCAGUUCAUUUGUUUUAACUGAUCUUAAAUGUUGUGUGUGUGAAAGUAACACAAGGCAAGGGUAAGCCAGGAUUCAGGAUGCUGGUUACUUCCUGUGAGAAAAGGCCAAGAGCAGGAUAGGGAAAGAGGACACAGUAUGUCACUGUCAAUAUUCCUGUUAUGAUGCUGGGUGAUAGGUUCAUAACUGUGUCUUAUAAUAUUAAUUUUAAUACAUAAAUACCUCUGACAGGCACCUAAGAUGAGAAUGUGUCAUGAACCAAGACAUACAAUGGGUAAUAUUACAUAAUUAUUGUUAUGUAAUCUUGUUAUAUUAUAUAUUAAUCAUAAUCUUACAUUAUUUGUUAUGGGUUAUAUAUUAUAUAGAUGCAUGAAUUAUAUAUUAUGUGUAUAAACACCUACAUAUGUAUUAUAUACUAUCUGCUAAAAAAUAAACAGAAGAUAAUAUGCUAGUAUAUCUUCUAUUAUGUAUUAUUUAAUAAAUAAUAACAUACUCUAUCCUGUUAUAUGACAUGGAACAUAAUCUUUAAUAAAAUAAGAAAUCUGUCAAUAUA
This is an RNA transcript of Camelus dromedarius (Arabian camel), 1570 nucleotides long. It is a transcript of the gene named GDP-fucose protein O-fucosyltransferase 2-like, with no coding region annotated. Lineage: Eukaryota; Metazoa; Chordata; Mammalia; Artiodactyla; Camelidae. The transcript is spliced from 5 exons. The record is from RefSeq and is a predicted model, not a curated record.